Molecule: ribosomal RNA, 380 nt
Filed under: uncultured bacterium
Lineage: Bacteria
Description: bacterial SSU rRNA
Rfam family: Bacterial small subunit ribosomal RNA
Source: RNAcentral
GACGAACGCUGGCGGCGUGCUUAACACAUGCAAGUCGAGCGGUAAGGCCCUUUCGGGGUACACGAGCGGCGAACGGGUGAGUAACACGUGGGUGACCUGCCCUCAGCUCUGGGAUAAGCCUGGGAAACCGGGUCUAAUACUGGAUAUGACUCCAUGACGCAUGUUGUGGGGUGGAAAGCCUUGUGCGGCUGAGGAUGGGCCCGCGGCCUAAUCAGCUUGUUGGUGGGGUGANGGCCUACCAAGGCGACGACGGGUAGCCGGCCUGAGAGGGCGACCGGCCACACUGGGACUGAGACACGGCCCAGACUCCGUACGGGAGGCAGCAGUGGGGAAUCUUGCGCAAUGGGCGAAAGCCUGACGCAGCGACGCCGCGUGAGGGA